This 538-nucleotide ribosomal RNA is filed under the name Bifidobacterium pseudocatenulatum. RNAcentral's name for it is "bacterial SSU rRNA". It matches the Rfam family "Bacterial small subunit ribosomal RNA", at positions 161 to 711 of the family's 1533-position model. The record is from RNAcentral. Lineage: Bacteria; Bacillati; Actinomycetota; Actinomycetes; Bifidobacteriales; Bifidobacteriaceae.
UGGUAAUGCCGGAUGCUCCGACUCCUCGCAUGGGGUGUCGGGAAAGAUUUCAUCGGUAUGGGAUGGGGUCGCGUCCUAUCAGGUAGUCGGCGGGGUAACGGCCCACCGAGCCUACGACGGGUAGCCGGCCUGAGAGGGCGACCGGCCACAUUGGGACUGAGAUACGGCCCAGACUCCUACGGGAGGCAGCAGUGGGGAAUAUUGCACAAUGGGCGCAAGCCUGAUGCAGCGACGCCGCGUGCGGGAUGACGGCCUUCGGGUUGUAAACCGCUUUUGAUCGGGAGCAAGCCUUCGGGUGAGUGUACCUUUCGAAUAAGCACCGGCUAACUACGUGCCAGCAGCCGCGGUAAUACGUAGGGUGCAAGCGUUAUCCGGAAUUAUUGGGCGUAAAGGGCUCGUAGGCGGUUCGUCGCGUCCGGUGUGAAAGUCCAUCGCUUAACGGUGGAUCUGCGCCGGGUACGGGCGGGCUGGAGUGCGGUAGGGGAGACUGGAAUUCCCGGUGUAACGGUGGAAUGUGUAGAUAUCGGAAAGAACACCA